AAGUCGUAACAAGGUCUCCGUUGGUGAACCAGCGGAGGGAUCAUUACAGAGUUGCAAAACUCCCAACCAUUGUGAACCUACCUCACCGUUGCUUCGGCGGGUGGCCCGGGGCAACCCAGGCCGCGCCGGCCCCCUUCUUCGGGGGGCCCGGCAAGCCCGUCAGAGGACCGAAACCCUGUAAUUACUGGCCUCUCUGAGUAACUUAUACAAUAAGUCAAAACUUUCAACAACGGAUCUCUUGGUUCUG
This 247-nucleotide unclassified non-coding RNA is filed under the name fungal sp. RNAcentral's name for it is "partial internal transcribed spacer region". The stretch from base 1 to 46 matches the Rfam family "Eukaryotic small subunit ribosomal RNA", at positions 1786 to 1831 of the family's 1831-position model. Lineage: Eukaryota; Fungi. The record is from RNAcentral.